This 304-nucleotide ribosomal RNA is filed under the name uncultured bacterium. RNAcentral describes it as "partial 16S ribosomal RNA". It matches the Rfam family "Bacterial small subunit ribosomal RNA", at positions 506 to 809 of the family's 1533-position model. The record is from RNAcentral.
CAGCAGCAGCCGCGGUAAUACGAAGGGUGCAAGCGUUAAUCGGAAUUACUGGUCGUAAAGCGUGCGUAGGCGGUGAGUUAAGUCUGCUGUGAAAUCCCCGGGCUCAACCUGGGAAUGGCAGUGGAUACUGGCUCGCUAGAGUGUGUCAGAGGAUGGUGGAAUUCCCGGUGUAGCGGUGAAAUGCGUAGAGAUCGGGAGGAACAUCAGUGGCGAAGGCGGCCAUCUGGGACAACACUGACGCUGAGGCACGAAAGCGUGGGGAGCAAACAGGAUUAGAUACCCGCGUAGUCCCUGUCUCUUAUAA